UACGUAGGGUGCGAGCGUUAAUCGGAAUUACUGGGCGUAAAGCGUGCGCAGGCGGUUUGCUAAGACAGGUGUGAAAUCCCCGGGCUUAACCUGGGAACUGCGCUUGUGACUGGCAGGCUAGAGUACGGCAGAGGGGGUGGAAUUCCUGGUGUAGCAGUGAAAUGCGUAGAUAUCAGGAGGAACACCGAUGGCGAAGGCAGCCCCCUGGGCCUGUACUGACGCUCAUGCACGAAAGCGUGGGGAGCAAACAGGAUUAGAUACCCCGGUA
Molecule: ribosomal RNA, 268 nt
Filed under: uncultured prokaryote
Description: partial 16S ribosomal RNA
Rfam family: Bacterial small subunit ribosomal RNA
Source: RNAcentral